AGUGAACGCUGGCGGCAGGCCUAACACAUGCAAGUCGAACGGCAGCACAGGGGAGCUUGCUCCCUGGGUGGCGAGUGGCGGACGGGUGAGGAAUACAUCGGAAUCUACCUUGUCGUGGGGGAUAACGUAGGGAAACUUACGCUAAUACCGCAUACGAACUAUGGUUGAAAGCGGCGGACCGCAAGGCGUCGCGCGAUUGG
This 200-nucleotide ribosomal RNA is filed under the name uncultured bacterium. RNAcentral describes it as "partial 16S ribosomal RNA". It matches the Rfam family "Bacterial small subunit ribosomal RNA", at positions 29 to 224 of the family's 1533-position model. The record is from RNAcentral.